RNAcentral lists this ribosomal RNA (163 nucleotides) under Heteropanax fragrans. Its description in RNAcentral is "5.8S ribosomal RNA". It matches the Rfam family "5.8S ribosomal RNA". Rfam says of the family: 5.8S ribosomal RNA (5.8S rRNA) is a component of the large subunit of the eukaryotic ribosome. It is transcribed by RNA polymerase I as part of the 45S precursor that also contains 18S and 28S rRNA. The record is from RNAcentral. Lineage: Eukaryota; Viridiplantae; Streptophyta; Magnoliopsida; Apiales; Araliaceae. RNAcentral also lists the same sequence under 4 other names.
AAACGACUCUCGGCAACGGAUAUCUCGGCUCUCGCAUCGAUGAAGAACGUAGCGAAAUGCGAUACUUGGUGUGAAUUGCAGAAUCCCGUGAACCAUCGAGUCUUUGAACGCAAGUUGCGCCCGAAGCCAUUAGGUUGAGGGCACGUCUGCCUGGGCGUCACGC